Molecule: ribosomal RNA, 253 nt
Filed under: uncultured bacterium
Lineage: Bacteria
Description: partial 16S ribosomal RNA
Rfam family: Bacterial small subunit ribosomal RNA
Source: RNAcentral
UACGUAGGGUGCAAGCGUUGUCCGGAAUUAUUGGGCGUAAAGAGCUCGUAGGCGGUUUGUCGCGUCUGCUGUGAAAACUGGAGGCUCAACCUCCAGCCUGCAGUGGGUACGGGCAGACUAGAGUGCGGUAGGGGAGAUUGGAAUUCCUGGUGUAGCGGUGGAAUGCGCAGAUAUCAGGAGGAACACCGAUGGCGAAGGCAGAUCUCUGGGCCGUAACUGACGCUGAGGUGCGAAAGCGUGGGGAGCAAACAGG